CCUACGGGAGGCUGCAGUGGGGAAUAUUGGACAAUGGGGGAAACCCUGAUCCAGCGACGCCGCGUGAGUGAAGAAGUAUUUCUGUACGUAAAGCUCUAUCAGCAGGAAAGAAAAUGACGGUACCUGACUAAGAAGCCCCGGCUAACUACGUGCCAGCCGCGGCGGUACUACGUAGGGGGCAAGCGUUAUCCGGAUUUACUGGGUGUAAGGGGGGUGUAGACGGCAGCGCAAGUCUGGAGUGAAAGGCCGGGGCCCAACCCCGGAAUUGCUGUGGAAACUGUGAAGCUGGAGUGCAGGAGAGGUAAGCGGAAUUCGUGGUGUAGCGGUGAAAUGCUUAGAUAUCAGGAGGAACACCGGCGGCGAAGGCGGCUUACUGGACUGUAACUGACGUUGAGGCUCGAAGGCGUGGGGAGCAAACAGGAUUAGAUACCCGGGUAGUC
RNAcentral lists this ribosomal RNA (440 nucleotides) under uncultured bacterium. RNAcentral's name for it is "partial 16S ribosomal RNA". It matches the Rfam family "Bacterial small subunit ribosomal RNA", at positions 338 to 795 of the family's 1533-position model. The record is from RNAcentral.